Molecule: long non-coding RNA, 5842 nt
Filed under: Triticum aestivum (bread wheat)
Lineage: Eukaryota; Viridiplantae; Streptophyta; Magnoliopsida; Poales; Poaceae
Description: long non-coding RNA (TAES_LNC010329)
Source: RNAcentral
AAAGGCCAAAUAAAGAAUUCUCUCUCAAAUAUGCUACCACCCAAAAUGCACAGUAACAAAAUUGUGAGGCCCCUCAAGCGCUGUCAUGAACAACGUCCCACAAACACAAUGUCCAUACCAAAAAUCUACACCAUGUGACGAUUAUCAUGUGCCCAAACAGUGAUGAGAAAAUAAACAGAUAACUCUUGUUACAACUCUUGCCGCACAUGACUAACAAAAAUAAUAAGGCUAGUUUUUUUUUGCGUGUAAAAUAAUAAGGCUAGUGAAUAUAUUAAGUAGACUCGAAUUGUGAAGCGUCUUCAUAACAUGUGAGGCCAUACAUUAAUUUGCAGGUGCAGCUCCUGUAACCUCUGAUCUGCAUUUGCAAAACCAAUCUUUCAUCCAUUAGAGACAAAAUACUGGCACAAAAAUAGAAGACCGUCAUAAGAUGCUAACGAUGCUUGCUAUUCGAAUGAAGCUGUAACAAGAUCUCAAACGGAAGAAAAUAACAUCACCGUCACCUUAUAACAUACUCCCUCCGUUCAGAAAUAACAUAUUACAGGAGAUUAGUAAGCUAUGAAGGCCAUCUCCAAUGGACGUACGCUAAUUUAGAUGCACUCGCAUUUACAAUGCUAAGCACGUUAGCAUAGGCAAACUGCUGGUGUGGCAGCCACAACGUUGGGAUGAAAAAAAAUCCUUAUAACUAAUUAAAUACAUUACUUAUAAUAACUAAUUAAAUACAUUACUUAUAUAGAACCCAAUGCAUAAAAUACACAAGAAACAGACAGGCGCCAGGCACAAAAUUGAACGCCAGGUUUAGGGUGGAAAUAAAUUCUACACUAGCAAAACUACCGGGAUUAUUUCCCCUAGCAACAACCUUAAGCAUCCCAUUGGAGAUGGCCGAAGUGAUCAGAAGAGACGUGAGCACAUUUGUCCAUUCACAGCCUAGGACGUUCAUACAAAGAUUUAAAUCGCCGGCGAAAUCUGCCCGCGAUUUGCAUGGCUCGGUAAAUCGCCGGAGAUCGCGGCGCUAUCGCGGGCGAUUGUGCCAUUCCUUCGUUAACCGUCGCAGCAAAAAUCUCAGCUGCGAUUCACCUUCGCCCGCGAUUUUAAUCUAUGCGUUCAUACAUCCCAAUCCCACAAAACAAGAAAAUUAUUCUGAUAAAGCUUAACAUAACCAAGAAACCAGGCUCAACAUAACCAACAAACUAACAAGGUAUUGCAAUGUAAACAACUUUACACUAUACAAUAGCAUAUCAAAGAUUAAUCUUCUCUUUUUUCUCAAAAAAAUAAAUAAAUAAUCAUAACCCAUGCCAACAGGACUGUUGUUGAAUUAUAGUUCAGACAAGAUUGGUAUAUACUAUAUCUGAGGUGACAAGCUUAACAUCGCUUGAAAAUUCUUUCUAGUGAGUUAUCAUAGUAUAGCCAUAAGCCAAGCAUGCUGAACUGGCCAGAUCUUGUCAUAAGUUAUCUUCACCAUCACAUCCCCUAAUAUACACAGUUGUCAUAAAUGUUAACUACAAUGAUCAAAACAGUGGAUGCGAUCAUUUAACCAAUGACCACUGCAUUGACAGGUGUUCAAAUUGACCAUGUCAUCUCUAUUUAUACGUACUAAAUAAAAGCACACGAAAUAGCAGUCAUCUCCAACAAGCGACCAAAGGAGGGUUAGGUGGAUUGUGUAAUUGGUUGACUGGAACAGCAAGGAAGUCUCCUGGAGAGGCAAACAAACACAUCGCUCGAAUAAUUCUGAAGAUACCAAGCCAGACAAUGACAUAGCUAGCAUAAAUCCGUUUAGAACAAGGAUACAGGAUACAUGCCCAGUAGUGACAGCUAGUUGCGAGAACUGUGUCAGUGCACUGCAAGAACAUGUUGGAGAAAAUAACUGUACACAUUGAUUUUGUACAGUUUCGUAACCAUGAUUUUCUUAGCAACAGAACUCAAAAGUGUUAUUCUGGUCCACAAUGAUGCCAUGCAUGCCGCCCGAGCAUUGGAGUGCUAGUAUAUUUUGAACUGCAAAAACGUCUUAUAUAUUGGGACAGAGGUAGUACUAUCUAGACACUUCCAAGUCCUGAGAAAUGCAAGUUUGGCCUAAAUUGGGUACAUUUGUUUUCCCUCUUUUUUGCAGAUUGGGUGUAUUUGUUCUAACAAAACACAGCCAGCAUAUGCUGCUAGAAUUAAGGAUACCAAUCAUUAUUCCGUUUUAACUAUAGAGGGUAUAUGCCCUGUAGUGACAGCUAGUUGCAAGAACCAUGCCAGUGCACUGUACUCCAGGAGAAGAGUACAUGUUGGAGAAAUAACUGUAGACAAUUAUCUUGAAAAAGUUUCAUCAGCAAGAUUGUCUUAGCAACAAAAACCACAAGCAUUAUUCUGACCCACUAUUCGUGCCAUGCAUGCUGUCCGGGAAUUGGAAUGGUCGUAUAUGGCACCUUUAAUGAUACUACCUAGACAUUUCCUUGAGAUAUGAAGUUUAGUUGAAAAUGGGUAACUUUAUUAUGGCAUAUUUAUACUGAAGGGCCAGUAUAUAAUUGAAGAAUUUCCACAGCUUUUCACAGUUGGUUUGGUUCCAUGAUACUAUAACUGAAUUGGCAGAUGCCAACACCUACAACUCUUAAGCUCAAACAACACAGGGUUGCUAAAAAAUAGAAUGCUAAAUAUUAUUAGAUAGCCUUCUGUCUUGUUAUCAAAUUGGCGAUGCCAAAUGAUACUUAUUUGUCUUUGGCAAGAGGCUGAAUUUCAAAGGCCCAUGCGUUAAUCAUGAUUCAAUGAUUUGGACUUACUGUUAAAAAUAUCUGCCAAUUAAUCCCUGCUCGGUUGGUCACCAAGAUUAACAGAUUUAUCAGCCGAAGAAUUGGCCGAUUCGCCUACUAAUCCCCUACUCUCCAGCUUACCAAGAAGUUACCAGUUAAUGAUUUCCUGAACAUUAUUUUUUUUCAGUAGUUUAUAUAUGGAGGGAUCAAUCAAUGACAAAAGGUGUGUAUGUUAGUGCAGCAAAAGCAAAUGAAAACAGGGACACUUCUAGUUCAACCAAUGCUACCAUAGAAGCAUAUUUUAACUACAAAAUAAAUUUGCAUCACAUGAUCACAACAUAGAUUUCAGACUGAUUAUACACAAUUGUGUCACAACAUGUGUCAAGCUAAAGACAUGCAGAAGAAAAAACAUCUGCAAUUUUGUGAUUUAGGCCAAGGGAAGAAAAAACAUCUGCAAUUUUGUGAUUUAGGCCAAGGAACUAUUUCUGGGCAGGGAUAUAGGAAGGUACUGAUACUCUGUACCACAGCAUUACUCUAAACAUUUCUCAUUUUAAGGAAAAAAAAUCAACCUAUCAUGAUGUUCAAAUGAACCACGCACAUCAUGUUGCUAUCAUGGGCACCUUACAAGCUGAUGAAUAGGCAGCAAAUAGCAGCAUUUGUUUUUUUAGCGUACACCUCUAGAAAAUAAAGUGCAAUAACAGGACCAAUCAAUUCAGGAAUAGAACAUAAAAUUCCCAUAACAAAAAACUAAACACUAGAACAUGACAUGAUCAACCAUGGAAAGGCAAUUUAAUCAAUGUUUAGAGGGAUGAAAUCAGUUAUCAGACCCUUGUUCAGAUAGUACUUCAGCCUCAACUGCAGUAGGUUUCUUCCACACUCUGUCAGUACUCCUCUCCAGCACUUCGCCGUUCUCGUUCUCCUCGCCUUGGACUGGGGAAACCCUCCUCCCAGAGGACCUAACCUCAGGUGGUGCUUCACNNNNNNNNNNNNNNNNNNNNNNNNNNNNNNNNNNNNNNNNNNNNNNNNNNNNNNNNNNNNNNNNNNNNNNNNNNNNNNNNNNNNNNNNNNNNNNNNNNNNUGUGUGUGUGUGUGUGUGUGUGUGUGCUGUCUUUAGUACACACCCUCUUCCAUACACAUUUUCCUUUAACUAAAAUUAACUGCAACCUUUUCAGUUAACUCAAACAUUCAUUCUCUUCUCUGAACUGUUUGUUAUGUAAAACUGUCGUUGAUGAACUGUUGCUGCUAUGUCAAACUGUUGUUGUUGUAUGCUGCUACUACUGCAUUACUGUUUCUGCUGAUGUACUCAAUUAUUGUUUCUGCUAAUGUACUCAAUUACUGCUGAUGGAGUAUGUCAAAUUGCUGCUGCUAUGAAACAGUUUGAGUCAAAUUGAUGCUACUGCUGCUGCUACUCGAUUACUGCUUCUGGUCUUCUCAAUUACUCAAGUGAUCAAUUGAUUUGCAGGAGAAGGAGCAACAGCCAUGGAGUACUCCAGGAGCAGAUCAUGCCCAAAGGGACCACACCCAGGAGAUGGUCGUGGAUCAAACUGCUGCGCCCCGGGGCUGGUGCUUGUGAUGAGCGACGAGGAGAAGCAGGGACCUGGGAGCGCAUGGAUGAUGGAUGCGCGAAGGAUGAGCGCCUUGGACCUAGAUGAUGGAUUCGCCUGGGGCCUGGGAGCGACGGAGGAUGGACGCCUGGGAGUGCCGAGGAGAAGCGAUUUGAAAUCCUAGGAGCAAAGGGGGAAGACGACGAUGGGGAUAGCGAUUCAAAACAGGGGUAGCGUUGUAAAUUCCUUCAUUUCAAAACAGGGCCUCGAAAUGUUCUCUUCAACGCCAUAUAUUUCAAAACGGUGGGAGCAGUUUCAUGCCUAUAUUGAGCACCAUUGUGUCUCGCUCCCAUCACAAUUGAAUAUUUCUCCAUUGUAUUGUUAUCGUAUAUGAAUACGCAUGAUAAACCUGGAUUACUAUCGAUGCUUCAAAACAUUUGGACCGACACCCAUCAUACAAGUACUGCACAUGUUUCUACUGCUUUUGUACGCACAGAUCUAUUUAGCUAAGAAAAAAAAGGGCCCGCCAAAAAAUUGAAGUUCAGGACAGUCACAUAGUGUACUAGAGGCAAAAUGGUCUAUUUACCUCACACUGAACACCGUAAGUGACAAAAAUAGACUGAAAUGUCACCGAGGGAACAAAAUAAAGUUUUGAGUGUCAAAAUGGGAAGAACAAAUUGUUUUGGGCCAAAAAGGGAAGGGGAUUUUAAGAAUGGGACAAAAAGGGAAGGGGAUUUUAAGAAAGGCCAAAUAAAGAAUUCUCUCUCAAAUAUGCUACCACCCAAAAUGCACAGUAACAAAAUUGUGAGGCCCCUCAAGCGCUGUCAUGAACAGCGUCUCACAAACACAAUGUCCAUACCAAAAAUCUACACCAUGUGACGAUUAUCAUGUGCCCAAACAGUGAUGAGAAAAUAAACAGAUAACUCUUGUUACAACUCUUGCCGCACAUGACUAACAAAAAUAAUAAGGCUAGUUUUUUUUUGCGUGUAAAAUAAUAAGGCUAGUGAAUAUAUUAAGUAGACUCGAAUUGUGAAGCGUCUUCAUAACAUGUGAGGCCAUACAUUAAUUUGCAGGUGCAGCUCCUGUAACCUCUGAUCUGCAUUUGCAAAACCAAUCUUUCAUCCAUUAGAGACAAAAUACUGGCACAAAAAUAGAAGACCGUCAUAAGAUGCUAACGAUGCUUGCUAUUCGAAUGAAGCUGUAACAAGAUCUCAAACGGAAGAAAAUAACAUCACCGUCACCUUAUAACAUACUCCCUCCGUUCAGAAAUAACAUAUUACAGGAGAUUAGUAAGCUAUGAAGGCCAUCUCCAAUGGACGUACGCUAAUUUAGAUGCACUCGCAUUUACAAUGCUAAGCACGUUAGCAUAGGCAAACUGCUGGUGUGGCAGCCACAACGUUGGGAUGAAAAAAAAUCCUUAUAACUAAUUAAAUACAUUACUUAUAAUAACUAAUUAAAUACAUUACUUAUAUAGAACCCAAUGCAUAAAAUACACAAGAAACAGACAGGCGCCAGGCACAAAAUUGAACGCCAGGUUUAGGGUGGAAAUAAAUUCUACACUAGCAAAACUAC